AUGAAGGCCCUGCGCAUACUCUCAGGGAUUGAAAUCGCUGGGGGGUCUGCGGACUUUCAUCAUUUGACCGAGCUGAGGAAGCUUGCCAUCUACAAGCUUAAAGCCACGAAGAAUGAUCCGAGUUUCAAAGAGUUGAGCUCUUCUAUUGAGUACCUUGGUGGCUACUCUCUACAAACCCUGGUGAUUGACGACGAGUCAUCCGAGUUUAUUAAAUCACUGGAUGAUCUGUCAUCCCCUCCGAAAUUCCUUGUUGCCCUUGAGUUAUCUGGCAAGAUAGUUAAGCUCCCCUGCUGGAUCAAACAACUCAGUUCUCUCAAGAAGUUAACCCUUUCAAUAACAGCUCUCCGGACGGAUAACUUGAAGCAGCUUAGUGAUCUGGAGGCGCUGUUUUCUCUCACCUUUUCCUUUUCGUUUAGAGCAGAAAAACAGGACCCAGAAACACUGACCAUUCUUGCAAAAAACAAGCUGUUGCCCUGCUGCGGAGGGGAGAUCACAGUCCCAGAUGGAGGAUUUAAGAGCCUUAAACUCCUUUGCUUCUCUGCUCCUCUCCUGCCAUCACUCAUCUUCUCAGGACAAGCCAUGCCAGAGCUGGAAAGGCUUGAGCUACGGUUUAACAUACUGGAGGGGCUCUUUGGUGCAGAAAACGUUGCAAAGCUCAAAGAGGUGCAUUUGACGUUGGAUGACAAGGCUGGGGAAGGAAUAACCACAGAGAUAGUAAGCGAGAUGGAGAGCGCAAUGAAGAGGACCGGUGGCAAGACGCCGCAGAUAAUCCUUCAUCAGUGA
This 783-nucleotide ribosomal RNA is filed under the name Triticum aestivum (bread wheat). Its description in RNAcentral is "partial small subunit ribosomal RNA". The record is from RNAcentral. Lineage: Eukaryota; Viridiplantae; Streptophyta; Magnoliopsida; Poales; Poaceae.